GUGGCCCUGAAUCAAGGCCAGCAGCUUCUUGGCACUGUUGGUUUUAAACAGGAACCUAAAGAGAUGUCUUUCUAUGAUCUGUUGGCCAUUUCAGAACUUGACAGUGAAACGAUCAAUUCACUACAAAGAAACAGCU
This is a small nucleolar RNA of Cavia aperea (Brazilian guinea pig), 136 nucleotides long. The record is from Ensembl. NCBI's taxonomy places the organism in Eukaryota, Metazoa, Chordata, Mammalia, Rodentia, Caviidae.